CCUACGGGACGCAGCAGUGGGGAAUAUUGCACAAUGGGGGAAACGCUGAUGCAGCGACGCCGCGUGAGUGAAGAAGUAUCUCGGUACGUAAAGCUCUAUCAGCAGGGAAGAAAAUGACGGUACCUGACUAAGAAGCCCCGGCUAACUACGUGCCAGCAGCCUCGGUAAUACGUAGGGGGCAAGCGUUAUCCGGAUUUACUGGGUGGAAAGGGAGCGUAGACGGCAGCACAAGUCUGGAGUGAAAUCCCGGGGCUUAACCCCGGAACUGACUUGGAAACUGUGCGGCUGGAGUGCCGGAGGGGUAAGUGGAAUUCCUAGUGUAGCGGUGAAAUGCGUAGAUAUUAGGAGGAACACCGGUGGCGAAGGUGGCUUACUGGACUGUAACUGACGUUGAGGCUCGAAAGCGUGGGGAGCAAACAGGAUUAGAUACCCCUGUAGUC
RNAcentral lists this ribosomal RNA (440 nucleotides) under uncultured bacterium. RNAcentral's name for it is "partial 16S ribosomal RNA". It matches the Rfam family "Bacterial small subunit ribosomal RNA", at positions 338 to 795 of the family's 1533-position model. The record is from RNAcentral.